This 253-nucleotide ribosomal RNA is filed under the name uncultured bacterium. RNAcentral describes it as "partial 16S ribosomal RNA". It matches the Rfam family "Bacterial small subunit ribosomal RNA", at positions 524 to 776 of the family's 1533-position model. The record is from RNAcentral.
UACGUAGGGGUCGAGCGUUGUCCGGAUUAUCGUGGCGUAAAGAGCUCGUAGGCGGUUUGUCGCGUCUGCCGUGAAAGUCCGGGGCUCAACUCCGGAUCUGCGGUGGGUACGGGCAGACUAGAGUGAUGUAGGGGAGACUGGAAUUCCUGGUGUAGCGGUGAAAUGCGCAGAUAUCAGGAGGAACACCGAUGGCGAAGGCAGGUCUCUGGGCAUUAACUGACGCUGAGGAGCGAAAGCAUGGGGAGCGAACAGG